This 253-nucleotide ribosomal RNA is filed under the name uncultured bacterium. Its description in RNAcentral is "partial 16S ribosomal RNA". It matches the Rfam family "Bacterial small subunit ribosomal RNA", at positions 524 to 776 of the family's 1533-position model. The record is from RNAcentral.
UACGGAGGGGGCUAGCGUUGCUCGGAAUCACUGGGCGUAAAGCGCACGUAGGCGGCUUUCUAAGUCAGGGGUGAAAUCCUGGAGCUCAACUCCGGAACUGCCUUUGAUACUGGAAAGCUUGAGUUCGGGAGAGGUGAGUGGAACUGCGAGUGUAGAGGUGAAAUUCGUAGAUAUUCGCAAGAACACCAGUGGCGAAGGCGGCUCACUGGCCCGAUACUGACGCUGAGGUGCGAAAGCGUGGGGAGCAAACAGG